UUCCCCUUAAUACUCCUAAUGUCACCAUCAACCACAUUGCAAAACCUCAAAAUGGGAACUCAUGAGUUAAAAAAAUGGCUUUACAAUAACACUCAUUAACCCAAUGGCCAAAACUUGAAAAAACCUACUUAAAAUAGGAUUUGGUUAUGUCUUCUGAUUACUACCAAUGCAAAAAUAAUGGCAUAUUGCAGUUGUAGGCAAUAGUAUCAAACAUAAAAGCUAAAUAAGAAUAUAGGGUCAAUGUAAAAUCUUUUACAUUUCCAAUCAAUUGAAAAUCUUCCUCU
RNAcentral lists this long non-coding RNA (284 nucleotides) under Vigna radiata. RNAcentral's name for it is "long non-coding RNA (VRAD_LNC000918)". The record is from RNAcentral. Lineage: Eukaryota; Viridiplantae; Streptophyta; Magnoliopsida; Fabales; Fabaceae.